GAUGCGCAUAAAGUGUUGGCUGUCUGCUUAUAUCAAGUAUGGUCUGAUAUUUUGGUCAUAUCAGCCCCAGUAUUGAGCAUACCAACUGAUAUUCUGGUCAUAUCAGCCCCAAUAUUAAGCAUGCCAGUUGAUAUUCUGGUCAUAUCACACUUUCUACAGUCUACACCAAAUCUGCGAGCACGAUCUCUGAUAUUUGAAUCUUGAAAUUACCAUUAGAAAGGCAAAGAGAUCUUGUAGAAAAAUAGGUUACAUGCUCAGGUAUAUCAUAUAUGGAGAAAAGGCACUUAUCAGCUGUAUUGGUUCUUUAGUAUUUUUGUGCAGUCCUUCUAUUAAUUUUUCUAACUUUCUGGAUUUAUAUUUGAGCAAGAUAAAUAUAUUCCAUCUCUAUCCCAGUACAGAAUCGAAGCUUCAUCAAAUCUAUCUGGGCGUUCAUUGCGUAAUACAAUGUUGAGAUUGAGAACAUUUUCAUAGGGGAACUUAAGGUAUCACCUAAUGAUAUAAUAUUAGUCACUAUCCAUUGAUUGGUAAAUUUUGCUUUAGUAUACACCCCUUCAGGAUAUGGCUUUCAAUUCUAUACUUUUCUUUGAUUAUCAGUAUUGCUACAAGGAUAAUAAUCAUUUUUAUUGCAAAGUACGUACUACAUUAGACAAAUCAGCAUGUUUUCCCAUAUAAAUACAUGUGGCGCGAAAGCAGCGACAGUCAUGUUUGAAAGUGUGUAUUAUAAGAGUAUGUAUCUUAGUUAUUUUGGCGGUUUGAAAGCGUGUAAUAUAAGAGUAUGUAUCUUAGUUAUUUUGGCAUCGCCAUCCUUUACAUUAUAGGUUGUUUUGCAUAACAAACAAUGAUGUCUACAUAUGUAGAUUUGCAAGUUAAAUUCACCACACCUUUGAAACCCGUAGUUGUUUACUAUUCUCUUAAAUCUUUAAAAUGUGUGCUUCAUUCCUUUAAUUUCAGAACUAGGAGGGUGCAGAUAAGUAAGAGUUGUUGGCAGCAGCAACCUACACAUGUGGAAACAGUGGCUAUGGCGGUUCAAAGGGAAGUUGUGGCUGCUAGACAGCAACUCACAACUUAGUGGCGGCUCAAAGGACAUAUAAUCUAUUUCUUCUUGGAGCUAUCUACUAUCAUAUUAUGACUCAUUGCUAGCUGAAGCUUCUAUUUUCUCGCCUUUUGUGGUGGCGAUUAUUCCUUGGACUGCAGUAAUUCCAUUUGUAAGUAUCAUGUACUACAACCAUCUUUAUCUUUAGCCCCUGCACUUCAGUAUCAAAUUUGUGUGUAAGUGUAGGUUUUCUACUUGCUCCCUGAACAUUCCAUUGUUUUUCAUGUGCAAUUUUUUUAUCACCGGCUUCAACAUAGUUAAUUAGCAUGCGAGAGGCUCAACUGUAGCUUUUUGCAAUGCUAGAAGGCCAUAUUCAGUACUGAAAAUCUAGACUGUUCUUUCCACUCUGUAACAACUUCUAUGCUUGCGCCACCAUGAUAUCAUUACAACAUUUCCCUGUAAAAUUUUAUUAGUUACACGUAAACUGAAUUGAUUUACCAGUCAAAAUUUGUACAACUCAUUUCAGUUGAUAGUAACCAUUGUAGAAUUACCAGGAUAUGUCAUGUAUGUACUCUGAGUCGUAGCACGUUGCAAAAAGUACAGUAAGAGAUAGAUUGUAUGCACUAUGGCUAGCAGUAACAUUUUUCGACUUGUACAUCAUUCGAUCUAUCUAUUUCUACAGGCUAUUCCUCAUGUUGCAACCUUUUCCCGUAGAAUCAAAAGGAAUUAGAUGGAAGAAAUGGCAGGAGGUAUACUUCGUGUUCCAUUAGUCUUACUUUCGCAAGCAUGUCUAUAGUCUUAGUGUUGGAGGUGUGUCAAUAGUAGUAUCAAUUUUGGAGGCUUGUCUAUAUUAAUCUUAUUUUUUGGAUUAUGUUUCUUUCCAUCUGCAUCCUCUUCAUAAUGGAUUAGGUUACUUUGUUAUUUCCAUGUGAUACUUUUUCUUAUUACUGUGAUCGUCAGUGCUCUUAACAUUGGUUGUUCUUGCUUUACGACUGCCUUCUCAGCGCACUAUUAUUAGUUCUAAUACAUUAACUAUAAUAUGCUCGAUUGACCAUAUUAAUUAUAUAUUUCACUUCACCGGGGCUAUUGGUGGAAGUGUUGGUUAAAAUAUUUUGGUGGCGGUGUAUAAAACUAAUUGUUGUACACCAUUAUUAAGUGCGCUUUUGAGCUUUGAGUAGACAAUUGUGGUCUUAAUUACUUUAAAGGAUCGUUAAUAUAUUACUGUCGCUUUCCAUGUUCAGUUAUUCACACUAUAUUAUUGCUUGAUCCUGAUAACUUGCUGUUAUUAGAGAAGGAAUGGUAUUCUCGGCUGACAUUCAAAAGCAGUCAAGAUGGUGAAGUUUAGAAUGGAGGAGCUCCGCGGAAUUAUGGAUAAAAAAUAUCCAUAACAUGUCUGUCAUUGCUCAUGUCGACCAUGGUAUGUGACGGAGCAGUGACAGUUGUCUCUAAUUGUCAAGUUUAUACGGUAGAAUCUUCUUGAUUGAUGAUUUUAUAGCCUUCUCUUAGUGUUGGAGGUGUGUCAUGUCUAUAGUCUUAGUGUUGGAGGUGUGUCAAUAGUAGUAUCAAUUUUGGAGGUGUCAUGUCUAUAGUCUUAGUGUUGGAGGUGUGUCAAUAGUAGUAUCAAUUUUGGAGGCUUGUCUAUAUUAAUCUUAUUUUUUGGAUUAUGUUUCUUUCCAUCUGCAUCCUCUUCAUAAUGGAUUAGGUUACUUUGUUAUUGCCAUGUGAUACUUUUUCUUAUUACUGUGAUCGUCAGUGCUCUUAACAUUGGUUGUUCUUGCUUUACGGUUGCCUUCUCAGCGAACUAUUAUUAGUUCUAAUACAUUAACUAUAAUAUGCUCGAUUGACCAUAUUAAUUAUAUAUUUCACUUCACCGGGGCUAUUGUUGGAAGUGUUGGUUAAAAUAUUUUGGUGGCGGUGUAUAAAACUAAUUGUUGUACACCAUUAUUAAGUGCGCUUUUGAGCUUUGAGUAGACAAUUGUGGUCUUAAUUACUUUAAAGGAUCGUUAAUAUAUUACUGUCGCUUUCCAUGUUCAGUUAUUCACACUAUAUUAUUGCUUGGUUUUGAUAGCUUGCUAUUAUUAGAGAAGGAAUGGUAUUCUCGGUUGACAUUCAAAAGCAGUCAAGAUGGUGAAGUUUAGAACGGAGGAGCUCCACGGAAUUAUGGAUAAAAAAUAUCGAUAACAUGUCUGUCAUUGCUCAUGUCGACCAUGGUAUGUGACGGAGCAGUGACAAUUGUCUCUAAUUGUCAAGUUUAUACAGUAGAAUCUUCUUGAUUGAUGAUUUUAUAGCCUUCUCUUAGUUGUACUAUAUUAAUCCUUAAAACUGGAUCAUUUAAAAUUAGUUAGAUUUAAUGAGUUGUUUCAUUGUUUUCAAAUAAGUAGUUUAAGCCCUUAUUGUGUCCUGGAGCUUAUUCUUUCUAUCUUUUUAUGAUUGAUAUAUGCUCUAACAAGCUUAAAUGUAACUAUUGGCAUAUAAUCUCAUGGCUCAAAAUCUUAGUUGUUGAAUUAUUAAAAUUUAUAAGAUCUGGAGUUUGCACUAUAUUUCAUCCUGCAGUAUUCCCAGUAACCGAAUAUUAAGAGCACUGACGAUCCCAGGUUGUACAUUCGGGAAAUGCUUUUAUCUUGCAGGCCAGUUUUACAUUUACUUCUUCGAUAAGGAGAUGACCAUGAACAGAGUAUCAUGGUAUUUGCCUUGGCAUUACUGAUGUUGUGUUCAGAUUACUGAAGGAUUGGUAGCCGCAAAGGAGUGAAGGGUAGAAAAUAUGUCCAUUGUCAUUGAAUUGGUGGGAUUGUCCCCAAGUUAGUGCUGCAGAUGUUUCUAUUUUAGAGCAAGAAGCCAAAUCAUGCUGUUCAUUGUAAAUCUUGAAAAGCUUGUUUAUUGUCACUUCUAUAUCUGUUGUAAAUGUUUAUUCAUGAUGUGGUACUUGUCAAUCUUGUUUUGCCCUUCUUUUUCAAGUUUGCCUUAAAUUUUAGCAGACCAACAAGUCCUUGUUUCUUCAAUUGGUUUCUCAUUUCAUGUUUGCACUUGUAUUAUAGUAGAACAACAUGUCAUAAACAUGGCGUUCGGCAUUGUUUGUCCAGUUCCCUUCAAGAAAGAAGAGAUGGCUAUAGAGAGUGGCUCCAUCACUGAAGAGAUGAAAAAUGUUGUGCAAGGCAUUGUUUGUUAAGCUCCUUUUAAAAAAUAAAGUAAUUAUUGUGCAUCUAGCAUAUAAAGGGGUUGUGAAGGAC
This 4260-nucleotide long non-coding RNA is filed under the name Triticum aestivum (bread wheat). RNAcentral's name for it is "long non-coding RNA (TAES_LNC022360)". The record is from RNAcentral. Lineage: Eukaryota; Viridiplantae; Streptophyta; Magnoliopsida; Poales; Poaceae.